UACGGGGGGAGCAAGCGUUGUCCGGAUUUACUGGGCGUAAAGAGCGCGCAGGCGGUCGUUCAAGUCGAGUGUGAAAGCCCCCGGCUCAACUGGGGAGGGUCACUCGAUACUGAUCGACUCGAAGGCAGGAGAGGGUAGUGGAAUUCCCGGUGUAGUGGUGAAAUGCGUAGAGAUCCGGAGGAACACCAGUGGCGAAAGCGGCCACCUGGACUGUACCUGACGCUGAAACGCGAAAGCUAGGGGAGCGAACGGG
Molecule: ribosomal RNA, 253 nt
Filed under: uncultured bacterium
Lineage: Bacteria
Description: partial 16S ribosomal RNA
Rfam family: Bacterial small subunit ribosomal RNA
Source: RNAcentral